GUCCUUUUGUAGUUGAAGAGUAAAUUGAUUGGGCGUUCACGUGCAUGUGUCAGAUAUGCCACCCUCCAACCUUGUUAGGAUGUUGGCACAUUACCUGUCUGACA
Molecule: small nucleolar RNA, 104 nt
Organism: Cebus imitator (Panamanian white-faced capuchin)
Lineage: Eukaryota; Metazoa; Chordata; Mammalia; Primates; Cebidae
Product: small nucleolar RNA U13
Exons: 1
Source: RefSeq, a predicted model, not a curated record